Long non-coding RNA from Adelges cooleyi (spruce gall adelgid), 434 nucleotides. RefSeq lists it as uncharacterized. The transcript has 3 exons. The record is from RefSeq and is a predicted model, not a curated record. Lineage: Eukaryota; Metazoa; Arthropoda; Insecta; Hemiptera; Adelgidae.
UCGACCACAGUUGCUUAAUCAUAGUCUAGCUACAAGUAAAUUUUACAAGUAUAUUUUCAGCAAAUUAUUGUAAAUUUAAAAAUCUACGUUUCCGUUCAAGUUAAACACAAUUUUAGAGUUCUAAAAAAUAUCGAAAAAGUUUUGUGAGUUCAAUUCAGUACACAAAGCUUAAAGUACAAGGCAGUCAACUUGAUAAAUGUCACAAGUAUUACGUGCAAUUAAUUUGUGUGUGUCGUUAACUUCUUGGCCAAAGUCUAAAACGAUGAUUGAGUCGAACAUUCAAACGUCAUAGAAAAACGUAUAUAUUAUGGGACAGUGACACUUCUAAUAACGAUAAUUAUCAUAAUAAAAUAAUAUACAAGACGAGAGGAGUGGUCGAACUAAUAAGGAUUUUUUUUUAAACAAGGAUUUCGUAACGGCGUAGAUACGGUCGA